UCAGUUUAUUGCAAGGCUUUGAACGACAGACACAGCUAAUGACAGAAUAUCAUUGUCGUAUACGACUUGAUUUCAAUGGCAUUCUCUCUUCUGACUACUUGAUUGAAUGAUAUGAAUUUGCUAUCGUACAGUUCAACGGUUUGGCAUGGCUUUUCUUGGGUGUUCCCACCAGCAGGAAUUCGAGAAAAUGAAGGAGAAAGGCAGAACCUGGAGAGAAGAGGGGAGAGAGAGGAGAGAAAAAAGGAAAAUAGUAUAACUAAAUUCCUUGAUUGAAGACACAAAUAAUGGAUUGUGAGCCUUUUAAGGUGGAUUGUAUAUAUUUUGUAAACACUUAUUUAUGUAAGGUACUUAACUAAACAUGGACAUUAAGGGUAAUAAAUUUUCAAAUAGUGUACAAGAAUGAAAAAAUCCCUACUUAGAAUUUCAA
Long non-coding RNA from Nicotiana tabacum (common tobacco), 427 nucleotides. RefSeq lists it as uncharacterized. Lineage: Eukaryota; Viridiplantae; Streptophyta; Magnoliopsida; Solanales; Solanaceae. The record is from RefSeq and is a predicted model, not a curated record.